AUAUGUGCUAAGGUAGCAUAAUCAUUUGUCUUUUAAUUGAAGACUAGAACAAAAGAUUAAACAUUUCAAUUUAUAUCUAUAAUAAAUUAUUCCAAUUUUUCUUAAAUGUAAAAAGACAUUUAUUUAAAAGAAAGACGACAAGACCCUAUUGAACUUAACUUUAGUUUAACUGGGGCAGUAAAUUAAUUAUUAUUUUAAUUAAAAUAAUUACUCUACUAUCCAAUAAUAUUGAAUUAUCCAGUUACCAUAGGGAUAACAGCGUAAUUACAUUUUAGAGAUCUUAUCUAAAGUUUAGAUUGCGACCUCGAUGUUGAAUUAAUAGCCUUUUUUAAGAAAAAGUUUAAAUAGGAGGUCUGUUCGACUUUUAAAAAAUUACAUGAUUUGAGUUCAGACCGGUGUAAGCCAGGUCGGUUUCUAUCUUCUUAAUAUCUUUAUAUAGUACGAAAGGACCCAUAAAUAUUAAUUUAUAAUUAAUUGGCAGAAAAAUGCAUUAGAAUUAGAAUCUAAUAAAGCUAAA
RNAcentral lists this ribosomal RNA (517 nucleotides) under Aillutticus nitens. RNAcentral describes it as "partial 16S ribosomal RNA". The stretch from base 129 to 423 matches the Rfam family "Bacterial large subunit ribosomal RNA", at positions 2074 to 2646 of the family's 2925-position model. Lineage: Eukaryota; Metazoa; Arthropoda; Arachnida; Araneae; Salticidae. The record is from RNAcentral.